This 793-nucleotide long non-coding RNA is filed under the name Rattus norvegicus (Norway rat). RNAcentral describes it as "long non-coding RNA NONRATT010061". The record is from RNAcentral. Lineage: Eukaryota; Metazoa; Chordata; Mammalia; Rodentia; Muridae.
GAACGUGAUGCAGCAGGAGAACUUGGAGCUGAGAAACAAAUAUGAGGACCUCAACACGAAGUAUCUGGAGAUGGGGAAGAUCGUUGAUGGAUUUGAGAAGAUCGUGUAUAAAUCAAUGGAGGAGGCUGAGAAACAGAAGGAACUAGCUGAAGACAAAAUUCAAAAGAUUUUAAGAGAGAGAGACCAACUUACUGCGGAUCUGAACUCUAUGGAGAAGUCCUUCUCUGACCUCUUCAAGCGGUUUGAGAAGCAGAAGGAAGUGAUUGAAGGCUACCAGAAGGUGCGUUGUAUCCCCUUUCGGUCCUUGCUAUGUUAAUCCCUUUCUGGCUGAGCUGUGUUCCGUACAUCUGGGUUCUUAACUGUGCUGUUCCUUGGCACCAGGGACGUGAUAGCCUAUCUAUCAGCAGGACAAGCUGCACCACGAGACUCUGGUAGGAGAGCACGGCCGAUCUGUGAGAUGUGGUUUUAGAGGCUUUAGGAGCCUCAGCAGAAGAGACUGAGGGUUUCCCUGCUUAGUGCUACUAUGUCUGGCAUGCACAAGGCCCUUAGCUCACUCUCCAUUAACUUUUCAACCCUCCUGUCCUCCCAAAAGAAAAAAAGAGGGGAAAAAAAAACUUUGCAGUUAUAGAGUUCUGUGAACAGACACCAUGACCAAGGCAACUCUUACAAAGGAAAACAUUUAAUUGAGGCUGGGUUAUAGGUUCAGAGGUUCAGUCCAGGAUCAAGGCAGUGUCUAGGCAGUCAUGCUUCUGGAGGAGACAAGAGUUCUACAUCUUGAUUGGAAGGAAGCCAG